AGGGGAUUAGUUUAAUGGUAAAACUGAGGACUCCAAACCCUCUGUUGUGGGUUCGACUCCUGCAUCCCCUGCCA
RNAcentral lists this transfer RNA (74 nucleotides) under Metamycoplasma salivarium. Its description in RNAcentral is "tRNA-Trp". It matches the Rfam family "tRNA". Rfam says of the family: Transfer RNA (tRNA) molecules are approximately 80 nucleotides in length. Their secondary structure includes four short double-helical elements and three loops (D, anti-codon, and T loops). The record is from RNAcentral. Lineage: Bacteria; Bacillati; Mycoplasmatota; Mycoplasmoidales; Metamycoplasmataceae.